RNAcentral lists this ribosomal RNA (485 nucleotides) under uncultured bacterium. Its description in RNAcentral is "bacterial SSU rRNA". It matches the Rfam family "Bacterial small subunit ribosomal RNA", at positions 30 to 507 of the family's 1533-position model. The record is from RNAcentral.
AUUGAACGCUGGCGGCAUGCCUAACACAUGCAAGUCGAACGGGUAACAGGCCUUCGGGCGCUGACGAGUGGCGGACGGGUGAGUAACGCGUGGGAAUCUGCCUAGUAGUGGGGGACAACCUGGGGAAACUCAGGCUAAUACCGCAUACGCCCUACGGGGGAAAGCAGGGGAUCUUCGGACCUUGCGCUAUUAGAUGAGCCUGCGUCGGAUUAGCUUGUUGGUGGGGUAAAGGCCUACCAAGGCGACGAUCCGUAGCUGGUUUGAGAGGACGAUCAGCCACACUGGGACUGAGACACGGCCCAGACUCCUACGGGAGGCAGCAGUGGGGAAUAUUGGACAAUCGGGGGGCAACCCUGAUCCAGCAAUGCCGCGUGUGUGAAGAAGGCCUGCGGGUUGUAAAGCACUUUCGGAUGGGAAGAAAAGCUCAAGGCUAAUAUCCUUGAGUCUUGACGUUACUAUCAGAAGAAGCACCGGCUAACUCUGUG